UGGUGCUUGCAUCAUGAUUUACAUUUGAGUGAGUGGCGAACUGGUGAGUAACACGUGGGAAACCUGCCCAGAAGCGGGGGAUAACACCUGGAAACAGAUGCUAAUACCGCAUAACAACUUGGACCGCAUGGUCCGAGCUUGAAAGAUGGCUUCGGCUAUCACUUUUGGAUGGUCCCGCGGCGUAUUAGCUAGAUGGUGGGGUAACGGCUCACCAUGGCAAUGAUACGUAGCCGACCUGAGAGGGUAAUCGGCCACAUUGGGACUGAGACACGGCCCAAACUCCUACGGGAGGCAGCAGUAGGGAAUCUUCCACAAUGGACGAAAGUCUGAUGGAGCAACGCCGCGUGAGUGAAGAAGGGUUUCGGCUCGUAAAACUCUGUUGUUAAAGAAGAACAUAUCUGAGAGUAACUGUUCAGGUAUUGACGGUAUUUAACCAGAAAGCCACGGCUAACUACGUGCCAGCAGCCGCGGUAAUACGUAGGUGGCAAGCGUUGUCCGGAUUUAUUGGGCGUAAAGCGAGCGCAGGCGGUUUUUUAAGUCUGAUGUGAAAGCCUUCGGCUCAACCGAAGAAGUGCAUCGGAAACUGGGAAACUUGAGUGCAGAAGAGGACAGUGGAACUCCAUGUGUAGCGGUGAAAUGCGUAGAUAUAUGGAAGAACACCAGUGGCGAAGGCGGCUGUCUGGUCUGUAACUGACGCUGAGGCUCGAAAGUAUGGGUAGCAAACAGGAUUAGAUACCCUGGUAGUCCAUACCGUAAACGAUGAAUGCUAAGUGUUGGAGGGUUUCCGCCCUUCAGUGCUGCAGCUAACGCAUUAAGCAUUCCGCCUGGGGAGUACGGCCGCAAGGCUGAAACUCAAAGGAAUUGACGGGGGCCCGCACAAGCGGUGGAGCAUGUGGUUUAAUUCGAAGCUACGCGAAGAACCUUACCAGGUCUUGACAUACUAUGCAAAUCUAAGAGAUUAGACGUUCCCUUCGGGGACAUGGAUACAGGUGGUGCAUGGUUGUCGUCAGCUCGUGUCGUGAGAUGUUGGGUUAAGUCCCGCAACGAGCGCAACCCUUAUUAUCAGUUGCCAGCAUUAAGUUGGGCACUCUGGUGAGACUGCCGGUGACAAACCGGAGGAAGGUGGGGAUGACGUCAAAUCAUCAUGCCCCUUAUGACCUGGGCUACACACGUGCUACAAUGGAUGGUACAACGAGUUGCGAACUCGCGAGAGUAAGCUAAUCUCUUAAAGCCAUUCUCAGUUCGGAUUGUAGGCUGCAACUCGCCUACAUGAAGUCGGAAUCGCUAGUAAUCGCGGAUCAGCAUGCCGCGGUGAAUACGUUCCCGGGCCUUGUACACACCGCCCGUCACACCAUGAGAGUUUGUAACACCCAAAGUCGGUGGG
RNAcentral lists this ribosomal RNA (1384 nucleotides) under Lactiplantibacillus plantarum. RNAcentral describes it as "bacterial SSU rRNA". It matches the Rfam family "Bacterial small subunit ribosomal RNA", at positions 62 to 1434 of the family's 1533-position model. Lineage: Bacteria; Bacillati; Bacillota; Bacilli; Lactobacillales; Lactobacillaceae. The record is from RNAcentral.